This 200-nucleotide long non-coding RNA is filed under the name Nicotiana benthamiana. Its description in RNAcentral is "long non-coding RNA (NBEN_LNC000012)". The record is from RNAcentral. Lineage: Eukaryota; Viridiplantae; Streptophyta; Magnoliopsida; Solanales; Solanaceae.
ACUAAUGAAAGCUUGAUAUGCAGCUAAAGUUUAUUAUGUGACUUACAUGACUUAACUUGAAAAAUUUAAGUUGCUUGAAGCAUAUGCAAUUCGUGGUCAAGAAGUACCACAUCCCAAGUACAACUUGUGUACAUAUAUAUCUUGCUAUAACUAUAAGCAUGAUGGCAUUGAGAAUGCAUCAAUGGAGAUAUUGAAGAGUU